CAGGAGUACAACAUUAUUUUUGGGUUCUUGAUUUAACACAACAACAAAACAUGUCUUGUUAGUGAGGGAGAAGAUUGGUCCGAUCGCAACCCCAGACUUCAUCCAGAACGCUCCUGGACUUCCUAAAACACGAUCUGGUAAGAUCAUGAGGCGGGUCCUGAGGCAGAUCGCCCGGAACGAGAAGGAUCUAGGUGACCUUUCAACUAUGGCUGACCCCAAGGUCGUAGAGGUCCUGUUCAACCACCGCUGUGAAACGGCCUCUUGAGGGGCUGCAUGUCAACACUCUACAGUAGCUUCUUCUCCUCAUCUCCUCUCCUCGUCUCCUCAUCUCCUCUCCUCGUCUCCUCCUCCCUCUCCAUCCACACUGAUCUGAAAACUAUGGAAGCCCAUUCCUGCCACCAACUCUUUAAAAAAUUAUUAUUAUUUUUUUUAAAUAAUAACAUACUGCUACAAAUUAAGAAAUAUAUAUGUGCACAUUUAUUUCCAUAUAUCCACGUUGCAGAGAUCAGCACAGCAGGGUGGCUGGCAUUUACCCCAACACUUUUUCAAUUCGGUUUAAUAAAAAAUAUUGACACAAAAGCAUUGAAGAUUACUGUUGUUUAGAAUGAUUUUGCCUUUAUGAUUUGUCAACUCGUGCUUCAGUCUGAUCAACUGUAGUCUACUGAUAACGACCACAGCUACAGGUGGCCUAGAGAAACCUAUGCACUCUGGUCUCUUCUGGCCAGGUGAAACGAAGCGGUAAUGUGGUGUUUUUAUAGCCAAAGAUUUGUAUUUAUAGCCUAAAAUAGGCCUAUUUUAUUUGUGUUAAAAGAAAAUGUGACUGUGAUCAAAUUUGAUUUUUAUAUUUUCCGACUUCGGGUGGCUCGUCUACCCAGACCGUAUCAAUCCAAAAUGAUUGACCUGAAAUCAAUCGAUGAACACAAUAGUGAUGACAUCCUGUACGAGUCACUUUUCAAUUACAGAUGUUAAAAGGCCCACACUUUUUAACCGUGCAUGCAGUCAGCACUGUUGGUUCUAUUGGCCAAUCACAGUUGUUGAUUAGUAUUUAAAGAAUAAAUCAUUUUUAAACCAGGAUGUUGGGAAAUAACAAUCUGCCCACAUGCAACCGUUUUAUUUCUAUUACUAUGUCAUACCCUACGACUUAGGUUCUGGAGUUUUACCUGGUUGGGUUAGCCUACCAGUUCAGGAAAAACUCUGGGGGGGGCCCCCCCCCUAGGAAAACCCCUCCUGUGGUGCCACCUCUGAAAAUCACCCCCACAGAGAGACGGAUGAAGAAGUAUGCUCUACAAUCUCAACCAUUUUUUUUUUUUUUUUUAAGUAUCUCAUCAUAACAAUAAAGGUGGUUGGCGGGAAUGGGCUUUCUGCAGAAAACACAGGUUAUAUAAUAUACAACAGGAAACAUGGCGGUAUUUUCUUAUCAUUCUGUCACUUCUUCAGCGUCAUUCUAGGAAGAUGGAGAUGAGGUGAGGAAGCUACGUUAAGACACCCAGAGAGUCCCCCUUCCUCCUCCACCUAAUCUGAAGAUGCUGAGGCCUGUCUCCUAGUCUGUGGACAAAGACACUUCAAUUAUUUUAAAUUGUACUGUUUGCUAUUCUUUAAACACGUGUUUUAUUCAUGUGCUGUUCUAUAAACCAGUGUGUGUGUUGAUCUGAUGGUCCCUAAGCGCUGAUCCUGGUCGUAAAUUAUUUUGUGUGGUCUGUUUGGAGGAUGGAUAUUAUUAGUGGUUGGGGGACAGAUCCUAGAUCAGAUCUUAUGGGAACGACUGACUUCGAUGUUGUCUAUGUAAGGGAAUUGCAGUCAAUUCAAAUGCCAAUCCCAAGGGCUCAAACCAAUGAACUCCGUUUAUUUCAACACUUUUCUAUACCCGGUCAAAAAGGACAUGAAACAAUCCCUAUUCCAAAUGAAUAUUUAUGCCCCAGUGUUGUCAUUUGCAUGUGAUAAUGGGUGGGCCAAUGUUGAGGUAAACUGGACACGGAAUCAGAAUCGUCCCUUGUUGCCUGGUCAGCAACCGAACCUCUGGAACCCCUGGAACCCCUGGAACCCCUGGAACCUCUGGAACAUUCAGUGUUCUGAUUGAUCAGCUUCUGUCUUCCAUCUUGUUUUUUUACAUGCUCCUCAGAUUAUAUAUUAUUAUUGAUCUGUAAAGUCUAAAUGAUGGAAAGCUAUGAUAAUUAUUCCCAGGGAGACCAGUCAGCUCUCAGUUCUUCCACAAACAUCGCUUCCAUUUGUUUGGACGUCUUUUGUCUAUUUCAACUUUGAGAUUUUAUGAUUUGAGAAUAAAACUGUUUAAUUUA
Oncorhynchus masou masou (cherry salmon) is the source of this 2294-nucleotide long non-coding RNA. RefSeq lists it as uncharacterized. Lineage: Eukaryota; Metazoa; Chordata; Actinopteri; Salmoniformes; Salmonidae. The record is from RefSeq and is a predicted model, not a curated record. The transcript has 2 exons.